AGGGAAUCUUCGGCAAUGGACGGAAGUCUGACCGAGCAACGCCGCGUGAGUGAAGAAGGUUUUCGGAUCGUAAAGCUCUGUUGUAAGAGAAGAACGAGUGUGAGAGUGGAAAGUUCACACUGUGACGGUAUCUUACCAGAAAGGGACGGCUAACUACGUGCCAGCAGCCGCGGUAAUACGUAGGUCCCGAGCGUUGUCCGGAUUUAUUGGGCGUAAAGCGAGCGCAGGCGGUUAGAUAAGUCUGAAGUUAAAGGCUGUGGCUUAACCAUAGUACGCUUUGGAAACUGUUUAACUUGAGUGCAAGAGGGGAGAGUGGAAUUCCAUGUGUAGCGGUGAAAUGCGUAGAUAUAUGGAGGAACACCGGUGGCGAAAGCGGCUCUCUGGCUUGUAACUGACGCUGAGGCUCGAAAGCGUGGGGAGCAAACAGGAUUAGAUACCCUGGUAGUCCACGCCGUAAACAAUGAGUGCUAGGUGUUAGACCCUUUCCGGGGUUUAGUGCCGUAGCUAACGCAUUAAGCACUCCGCCUGGGGAGUACGACCGCAAGGUUG
This 549-nucleotide ribosomal RNA is filed under the name uncultured bacterium. RNAcentral describes it as "bacterial SSU rRNA". It matches the Rfam family "Bacterial small subunit ribosomal RNA", at positions 356 to 896 of the family's 1533-position model. The record is from RNAcentral.